This 496-nucleotide ribosomal RNA is filed under the name uncultured bacterium. Its description in RNAcentral is "partial 16S ribosomal RNA". It matches the Rfam family "Bacterial small subunit ribosomal RNA", at positions 28 to 507 of the family's 1533-position model. The record is from RNAcentral.
GAUGAACGCUGGCGGCGUGCCUAAUACAUGCAAGUCGAGCGAACGGACGAGAAGCUUGCUUCUCUGAUGUUAGCGGCGGACGGGUGAGUAACACGUGGAUAACCUACCUAUAAGACUGGGAUAACUUCGGGAAACCGGAGCUAAUACCGGAUAAUAUUUUGAACCGCAUGGUUCAAAAGUGAAAGACGGUCUUGCUGUCACUUAUAGGUGGAUCCGCGCUGCAUUAGCUAGUUGGUAAGGUAACGGCUUACCAAGGCAACGAUGCAUAGCCGACCUGAGAGGGUGAUCGGCCACACUGGAACUGAGACACGGUCCAGACUCCUACGGGGGCAGCAGUAGGGAAUCUUCCGCAAUGGGCGAAAGCCUGACGGAGCAACGCCGCGUGAGUGAUGAAGGUCUUCGGAUCGUAAAACUCUGUUAUUAGGGAAGAACAUAUGUGUAAGUAACUGUGCACAUCUUGACGGUACCUAAUCAGAAAGCCACGGCUAACUACGUG